This 228-nucleotide long non-coding RNA is filed under the name Rosa chinensis. RNAcentral describes it as "sRNA RchiOBHm_Chr1g0379011". Lineage: Eukaryota; Viridiplantae; Streptophyta; Magnoliopsida; Rosales; Rosaceae. The record is from RNAcentral.
GUCUCCUCCAGAUUUUACUAAGGUUUGUCUAAGCGUGCAGUUUCAAAUUCCUUCUACUUCCUCAUGGCUCGAACCAAGGUUACCCCUCGCAGGGGCGUCAAUCAACGCCGUGUUCUCUCUUUGGAAGAAGAAGGUCGUCAAGCGGCCACUAGAGCUGGGCUUACUCGUCCAUGGGACCAUCGUCCUAUCCGUGAGCGUACCCGCAGUCCCCCUCCUCUGCCUCGUCGC